CCCAGACUGAGGGGGAGCUCAGAGUGACCCAAAUUCUCAAAGAAAAGUUUCCACGAGCUACAGCUAUCAAAGUCACUGACAUUUCUGGAGUUGUGGGACGAUGUAUGAAAUUAAAAUUGAAUCAGAAGAAUUUAAGGAGAAGAGAACUGUCCAGCAGCACCAGAUGGUUUAUCAGGCACUAAAAGAAGAAAUCAAAGAGAUGCAUGGAUUGCGGAUAUCUACCUCUGUCCCC
This 232-nucleotide long non-coding RNA is filed under the name Homo sapiens (human). RNAcentral's name for it is "non-protein coding lnc-ALDH7A1-5:1". The record is from RNAcentral. Lineage: Eukaryota; Metazoa; Chordata; Mammalia; Primates; Hominidae.